AGAGAGAGAGAGAGAGAUAGAGAGCAAUGACUGGGAAAUUCACAAGGAAAAACAAAGAAAUCAUUGAGAAGAUAAAGAAAAGGUGACUUCAACUGAUUUUUCUUCAACAGCAAGCCAUUUUCUGUGACCAACGAAGUGCAUCCUGCUUUCCAAGUCAACCAAAUGUUAAAGCACCUAAUAGUAGUAACCACCUCCGUAUGGACGAUCAUUCCUGUAAUAAGGUGGAUAUGCACCAUAUUCAGGACCAUAGGAACCAUGUGGGUAAGGAUCAUUGCCUGCAUCAUAAGUAUCAUAAUAAUGUGUUCCAUGCAAUGAAACAGCUGGAUCAUUGUAAUCUAAUCGGGGACGGAGCCUACUAGGUUGUGCAUAAUCAGGAUCAUGGUCAGUCAUGAAAAAAGGCCGCUUCAUCCCAUGUGCACCAUCAUCGUAGAAAUAAGGGUCAUCACAGUGCCUUCCAACGUAAGGUCUAUCAAAGGCUUCUUCUGCAGAAAAUGGUUGCCUCCUAGAGGAAGCAUGGUUCCCAUGCCUUCUAUCAGAGGCAUCAAACCAAGGUCUAUUGAAAUUAUACCUUGAUGGGCCAGCAGCAGCAACACCUCUUCCAGCAGGGUGAUAACCACCUCUUAGAGGACCUCUUCUUCCUCCUCGUCCAAAGAAUUGCCUCCCAUUGAACAUGGCAUUUCGGUUAUUGAAAUCAUAUUCAUUGGGACCCAUUCUAGUAGAAUGACCAUGUCCUCGUUGAUGGAAACCCCUAUCACGCUGGAAAUUUGCCCAGUUGAAGUGGUGUCCACCCCGCCCAAAAUUCCUUCCAAAUCUUGAAGAGUUUCCAAUGCCAGCACGAUCAAUCAGAAAACCACCACACAUUCCACCCUUCACAGCCUGAGUUUUAGGCAUAGGAUUUGACAGCCUUGCUUUGACUCUCGUCUUUGAGUUCCCAUCACCCAAUUCUUUGUUGUUUAUUCUCUCAAUACAUGCAACAGCAGCUUCAUGGGAAGAGAAAUCAACAAACCCAAAAUCCUUCCUCUUGGCAGUUGACAUAUUUCGCGCCAGGACAAUUCGCACUAUCUCCCCGUAGCCUUGCAAAUGCUCUCUAACACGGUCUUCAUCCCAGUAAGGAGGAAGCCCAUCAAGAAAUACCGUCUUCACAUGAGCCAUAAUUUCUGGAUCAGGCUCACGUAUAGGUUCAGCAAAUGCUACUUUGGCAGUUCUCUCCGAAUGACCAAAUAUAACAUCUGGCUUCUGAAGCCUCUUGUAUGCAUGCAUGGCAUCAGCAUGGCAAGAGAACUCGAGGAAUGCAAAACCACGGCUCCUCCCUUCAUGUUGAACAUCUGGGACAAGAGUGAUGUUCUCAACACCUUCAACGCCAUAAUCUUUCAACUUUUGUCUAAUAGCUUCCUUUGUCCAUGUGUUGCAUAUGUUGCCCAAAAACAAAGUAUCAUUGUCCUCGCUUGGUGCUGUCCCACACCGCUUUCCACAAAUCACUGGGUUUUUCAUUUCGGACAAAGCACGUUUUGCAUGCUCCUUGUUUGCAAAUUUCACAAAUGCAUAUCCCUUACUCUUACUCAUCGAAAGAUUCCUAUGCAAACGAACUUCAACUACCUCACCAAUCUUCUCAAAAACCUUUCUCACAUCAUCUUCUGUGGCUUCUCUGUCCAGGCCACCAACAAAUAUUUCAUACUCUUUCUUUAUCUUGCGUUCCUUAGCAAUAGCUGUUAAUUCUUUGCGUUCCUCUUCUAGUGCCUCAGCUUCUUCAACAGGCUCCUCUGGAUCAUCUUCUACAAAGUCAUCCUCAACAUGAUCUUCAAAGUCCACUCGAUCACCAUACUCCUCAUAUCCCUCAUCAACACCGUACUCAUCCUGCACAGGUUGAGUAUCUUCUACCUGCAACUCACCUUUGCUAUUUUCUUCUGUGUCAACAGCCUCAAUUUUGUUCUCUUCCUUAUCAUCAAAUGUUUUUGUCUUAACCUCCUUCACUUCCUCUGAUUUGUCUGUACCACUGGGUUCUUCAUUUUUAGAGACCUCAGCAAUUUCAUGAGAAGCCAAGUCCACAACCAUUGCAGUUUGCUCCUUUUUGGGCUCUCCAACAAUUUCUGUUAUUGAUUGAUUCUCCUCUGCAGAUUCAAUUACAGACUCUUCCAGUUCCAUUGCAGCUUUUCCCUUCGCUAUGGAUUCUGCAACACUCUCAACAGGUUCUCCCACUUCAUUAGUAGUUUCUUCCUUCUUUGGGGAUUCUCCAACAUUUUCAGUAGCACAUUCCCCAUUAUUCAUGGAGACAAAAUCCUUCGCAUCCACCAUUUCCUCCUUUGAUCUUUCUUCAUCUUGAUCCUUUACAGAUUCAUCUGUCUUUGAUGACUGGCAAGAAGCAACUUUUGCUGCAGGAGUUUUAGUCUUCCCAGACGUUUUCCUAACAACCUUGACUACCUUCUUCACUACUGUUUUCUUGCGUGGGGUAACUUUUGCUUCAGGUGUCACCAAAGUUGCAUCAUUAGAUGCUUUUGUUUCUUCAACUACUGUAGACUGUUCAGGUUUUGAAUCGGAACUGAUGAUCGGCAAGGGUGAGGCUUCGUUGUUCUUUGCCUGCUUCGCUUUAGCUGCAGCACCGCGCUUCGUCUCGGCGGUUUUUGGAGUGGUUGAUUCCGUCACAGGAUCAGGUGUGGUUUUGGUGGCGGAUUUCCUCUCCGUCGUCGUCUUUUUAGGGGUCACCGAUUUGGUAGCGUCUCCAUUCCUAGUCCUCAUGUUCGUAUGUCGUUUAUGACUGAUUUUCUUCACU
This 2767-nucleotide unclassified non-coding RNA is filed under the name Hevea brasiliensis (rubber tree). The record is from RNAcentral. Lineage: Eukaryota; Viridiplantae; Streptophyta; Magnoliopsida; Malpighiales; Euphorbiaceae.